GUAAUCUUCAAACCAAACUCUCUGGUCGGCACCCACAGCUCUAAUGUGAAACCACAAUGUACUUCCUGUUGGGGGCCUAGUUAGCCAGGAUCCCCAAGAGACUGCCUGAUAAGAAAUUAAUUUUGAGAGUCACUCCACAGGACUGCCUAAUUAGCAGUGGUGGAUGAAGUACACAAAUCAAGUACUUGAGUAAAAGUAUGAAUACCCUAAUAAAAUAUUACUCCAGUAAAAGUAUUAAGUACUUCUUUUCAGUUUUACUUCAGUAAAAGUACAAAAGUACUUGACUUUUAAUGUACUCGAGUACAUUAGACCGGGCCAGUAGAAAAAAUACUUGGCGUUGAUCCCUGAGGGAUAUCCAAGUUAUGAAAAUAUCAAAGAAAAAAACAGAAAUGGCAUGGUGACAUGUCAUGUCAGCUGCCCGUAUAUUUGUCCUAUAAUGACAAGUUGUACUUUGGUUUGUUACAGUGGAAGAUCUGCUCCACAGGACUGGCAAAGCGCUGCAGAGCUGGCUUUCAUCAGACACAUGUGGUGACCGGCAGUUUAAAGAAGGAGAAGAGAGAGAAGAUAAAUCAAUACUCAUCCAGGAUAAACAGCACACUGAAGAGGGAUUACAUCAACCCUCGAGAAGCAGCCAAAACACAUCCAUUCCUCAUGAAACACAGUCUACGAAAUGUGUCGGAGAAACAUCGCCUGCUCUUCUGAGCAUUAGUGCCGUACCGUCUGACUGCACUAAACUGGUAGAACUGCAUAAAACUGAACAAACUGAUGAAACUCUCCAAAAUAUCAGCAGACACAAGCUCUCAUACCGAAAAGCCUUGAGCAACAGAAUUACAUUAAUGGAUCUUGAGAGAGGAAAUGUCAUUGCUGUCUAUGGAGGCCUCACUGAGCCAUCGGAUUUCAUCAAAAAUAUAAAAAAUUUGUGUUCUGAAAAUUAACGAAGGUCUUACGGGUGUAAAACGGCAUGAGGGUUUGCGUUGUAAUGCUGUUGUUUACAAUCAAAAGCCCAUGAAGUCCUGCAGAUAUCUCACAACACAAUGGACGGCACCAAUCCAGAAAGAGCCCAUCUGACGUGCCUCGUCACCUAUAGGAUGACCUGCCUCAGUCCAAGAAACAACC
Molecule: long non-coding RNA, 1116 nt
Organism: Ctenopharyngodon idella (grass carp)
Lineage: Eukaryota; Metazoa; Chordata; Actinopteri; Cypriniformes; Xenocyprididae
Exons: 4
Source: RefSeq, a predicted model, not a curated record